CCUACGGGAGGCAGCAGUAAGGAAUAUUGGUCAAUGGGCGCAAGCCUGAACCAGCCAUGCCGCGUGCAGGAAGACGGCCCUACGGGUUGUAAACUGCUUUUGUACCGGAAUAAACCCUUUUACGUGUAAGAGGCUGAAUGUACGGUAAGAAUAAGGAUCGGCUAACUCCGUGCCAGCAGCCGCGGUAAUACGGAGGAUCCAAGCGUUAUCCGGAUUUAUUGGGUUUAAAGGGUGCGUAGGUGGCUUUUUAAGUCAGGGGUGAAAGACGGUAGCUUAACUAUCGCAGUGCCUUUGAUACUGAAGAGCUUGAAUGAACUAGAGGUAGGCGGAAUGUGACAAGUAGCGGUGAAAUGCAUAGAUAUGUCACAGAACACCAAUUUGCGAAGGCAGCUUACUAUGGUUUUAAUUGACACUGAGGCACGAAAGCGUGGGGAUCAAACAGGAUUAGAUACCCUGGUAGUCCACGACCUAACGAUANAUACUACGAUAGUGUCGAUAUACGUACGUAGCGUCGUA
This 516-nucleotide ribosomal RNA is filed under the name uncultured bacterium. RNAcentral describes it as "bacterial SSU rRNA". It matches the Rfam family "Bacterial small subunit ribosomal RNA", at positions 338 to 849 of the family's 1533-position model. The record is from RNAcentral.